GAUGAAGAACGCAGCGAAAUGCGAUAAGUAAUGCGAAUUGCAGAAUUCAGUGAGUCAUCGAAUCUUUGAACGCACAUUGCGCCCCUUGGUAUUCCGGGGGGCAUGCCUGUUCGAGCGUCAUUAUAACCCCUCAAGCUCAGCUUGGUGUUGGGGCCUGCCUACUGGCAGCCCUUAAAAUCAGUGGCGGCGCCAUCUGGCUCUAAGCGUAGUAAUUUCUCUCGCUAUAGGGUCCCGGUGGACGUUUGCCAACAACCCCCAAUUUUUUAAUGGUUGACCUCGGAUCAGGUAGGGAUACCCGCUGAACUUAAGCAUAUCAAUAAGCGGAGGA
This 328-nucleotide unclassified non-coding RNA is filed under the name soil metagenome. RNAcentral describes it as "partial contains 5.8S ribosomal RNA, internal transcribed spacer 2, and large subunit ribosomal RNA". The stretch from base 1 to 120 matches the Rfam family "5.8S ribosomal RNA", at positions 35 to 154 of the family's 154-position model. The record is from RNAcentral.